UACGGAGGGUGCAAGCGUUGUCCGGAUUUAUUGGGUUUAAAGGGUGCGUAGGCGGUCCAUUAAGUCUGGGGUGAAAGCCCGUUGCUCAACAACGGAACUGCCCUGGAAACUGGUGGACUUGAGUACAGACGAGGGUGGCGGAAUGGAUGGUGUAGCGGUGAAAUGCAUAGAUACCAUCCAGAACCCCGAUUGCGAAGGCAGCUGCCUAGACUGUAACUGACGCUGAGGCACGAAAGCGUGGGGAGCGAACAGG
Molecule: ribosomal RNA, 253 nt
Filed under: uncultured bacterium
Lineage: Bacteria
Description: partial 16S ribosomal RNA
Rfam family: Bacterial small subunit ribosomal RNA
Source: RNAcentral